CCAAGCUUGCUUGGUGGAAGGAGAGGCGAACGGGUGAGUAAUACAUAAGCAACCUGCCCACGAAGACUGGGAUAAUCCCUGGAAACGGGGACUAAUACCGGAUAGGUAACGGGACCGCAUGAUCCUGUUAUUAAAGGUUAGAGACACUGGUGGAUGGGCUUAUGGCGCAUUAGUUAGUUGGUGAGGUAACGGCCCACCAAGACGAUGAUGCGUAGCCGAUCUGAGAGGACGGACGGCCACAUUGGGACUGAGACACGGCCCAGACUCCUACGGGAGGCAGCAGUAGGGAAUUUUCGGCAAUGGGCGAAAGCCUGACCGAGCAACGCCGCGUGAGUGAUGACGGCUCUAUGGGUUGUAAAGCUCUGUGGUUAGGGAACGAACGGUACUUAGAGGAAAUGAUAAGUAAGUGACGGUACCCAUCUAGAAAGCUACGGCUAACUACGUGCCAGCAGCCGCGGUAAUACGUAGGUAGCGAGCGUUAUCCGGAAUUAUUGGGCGUAAAGGGUGCGUAGGCGGACCGAUUAAGUUUGUGGUUGAAAGCGUGGGGCUCAACCCCAUAAAGCCAUAGAUACUGGUCGGACUAGAGUACUGGAGAGGGAAGCGGAAUUCCAUGUGUAGCGGUAAAAUGCGUAGAUAUAUGGAGGAACACCGGAGGCGAAGGCGGCUUCCUAGACAGAGACUGACGCUGAGGCACGAAAGCGUGGGGAGCAAAUAGGAUUAGAUACCCUAGUAGUCCACGCUGUAAACGAUGAAUGCUAAGUAUUGGGGAGACUCGGUGCUGCAGCCAACGCGAUAAGCAUUCCGCCUGUGGAGUAUGCACGCAAGUGUGAAACAUAAAGGAAUUGACGGGGGCCCGCACAAGCGGUGGAGUAUGUGGUUUAAUUCGACGCAACGCGAAGAACCUUACCAGGCCUUGACAUCCCUGCGAAGCUAUAGAGAUAUAGUAGAG
Molecule: ribosomal RNA, 949 nt
Filed under: uncultured bacterium
Lineage: Bacteria
Description: bacterial SSU rRNA
Rfam family: Bacterial small subunit ribosomal RNA
Source: RNAcentral